This 460-nucleotide ribosomal RNA is filed under the name uncultured bacterium. Its description in RNAcentral is "partial 16S ribosomal RNA". It matches the Rfam family "Bacterial small subunit ribosomal RNA", at positions 338 to 795 of the family's 1533-position model. The record is from RNAcentral.
CCUACGGGAUGCAGUAGUGAGGAAUAUUGGUCAAUGGGCGUAAGCCUGAACCAGCCAAGUCGCGUGAGGGAUGAAGGUUCUAUGGAUCGUAAACCUCUUUUAUAAGGGAAUAAAGUGUGGGACGUGUCCUGUUUUGUAUGUACCUUAUGAAUAAGGAUCGGCUAACUCCGUGCCAGCAGCCGCGGUAAUACGGAGGAUCCGAGCGUUAUCCGGCUUUAUUGGGUUUAAAGGGUGCGUAGGCGGCCUUUUAAGUCAGCGGUGAAAGUCUGUGGCUCAACCAUAGAAUUGCCGUUGAAACUGGGAGGCUUGAGUAUGUUUGAGGCAGGCGGAAGGCGUGGUGUAGCGGUGAAAUGCUUAGAUAUCACGCAGAACCCCGAUUGCGAAGGCAGCCUGCCAAGCCAUGACUGACGCUGAUGCACGAAAGCGUGGGGAUCAAACAGGAUUAGAUACCCGUGUAGUC